Molecule: transfer RNA, 51 nt
Filed under: Cucumis melo (muskmelon)
Lineage: Eukaryota; Viridiplantae; Streptophyta; Magnoliopsida; Cucurbitales; Cucurbitaceae
Also listed under: 26 other names
Description: partial tRNA-His
Rfam family: tRNA
About the family: Transfer RNA (tRNA) molecules are approximately 80 nucleotides in length. Their secondary structure includes four short double-helical elements and three loops (D, anti-codon, and T loops).
Source: RNAcentral
GGCGGAUGUAGCCAAGUGGAUCAAGGCAGUGGAUUGUGAAUCCACCAUGCG